This 483-nucleotide ribosomal RNA is filed under the name uncultured bacterium. RNAcentral's name for it is "bacterial SSU rRNA". It matches the Rfam family "Bacterial small subunit ribosomal RNA", at positions 28 to 526 of the family's 1533-position model. The record is from RNAcentral.
GACGAACGCUGGCGGCGUGCUUAACACAUGCAAGUCGAACGGUAAGGCCCUUCGGGGUACACGAGUGGCGAACGGGUGAGUAACACGUGGGUGACCUGCCCCCUACUCUGGGAUAAGCCUGAGAAAUUGGGUCUAAUACCGGAUAUGACUCAUGGCUGCAUGGUUGUGGGUGGAAAGCUUUUGUGGUGGGGGAUGGGCCCGCGGCCUAUCAGCUUGUUGGUGGGGUGAUGGCCUACCAAGGCUUCGACGGGUAGCCGGCCUGAGAGGGCGUCCGGCCACACUGGGACUGAGACACGGCCCAGACUCCUACGGGAGGCAGCAGUGGGGAAUAUUGCGCAAUGGGCGGAAGCCUGACGCAGCGACGCCGCGUGGGGGAUGACGGCCUUCGGGUUGUAAACCUCUUUCGACCUCGACGAAGCCUUUGGGUGACGGUAGGGGUGGAAGAAGCACCGGCCAACUACGUGCCAGCCGCCGCCGUAACAC